Long non-coding RNA from Chelonia mydas (Green sea turtle), 890 nucleotides. RefSeq lists it as uncharacterized. The record is from RefSeq and is a predicted model, not a curated record. The transcript has 3 exons. Lineage: Eukaryota; Metazoa; Chordata; Testudines; Cheloniidae.
CCUUUACUUAGGACUGCUUCCCUUGUGCUACCUGCUCCUAGGGCCUGACUCUGAUUUCCUGGUAUCCUGACCCUGCCUGCCUCCUGACUCUGUUUGCCUUCUGGCCUGUCUUGGACUCCGAUCUCCUGGGAUGUGACCAGGCCUGGCUCCUGACUCCCGCUCCAACCGCUAGGUCAAGGCGCCAGUGUCCCCGUCAUGACAGUGUGAUUGCUCGAGCCCUGACAUUCAUGAGCACCAAACUUUCCAAUUAAUGCAACCAGUACAGGAACUUUGCUGUUGUGGAAGAUCGAGCUCAUGCAGGGUGAAGCAGUUCCCUGGGGUAACUUGAGCCAAUUCUAUAGAGGCAUUUGAAGAUGAAGUCCAACACCAUCCAUGAGGAGCCAGGGCAGAGAGCAGAACACAGACAAGGUGAUGGGCUGCUAUGUUGUGAACUGAUCAGAGCUUUCUAAAGGUAUUCAGAAGGAGAGAAUAACCCAGCUCUUCUCCGGAAUCCAGAGGAGGACAUGGAUUGGGAAGCAGGAAAAGACAUGUAAGUCUGUGGUGUGGAUUUUCGGAGUUGGAUCCUCAGCUGGUGUAGCUCCAUUGAUUUCCACCAAACUAUGCUGGGCCAAUGAAGCUCUGCUGAUUUACACCGGCUGAGAAUCCGGCUCUCUGCUGCAGCUCACUCCCACAGCAUGUGGUGAGAUCUGCAGUAGCAAAGUGCAUUCUGCUGUGAUGAUCCAGGACACUGACGGCUGAAGUGGUACUUGCAGCAGGCAGCAAACAGAUGUGUUCAAGGAGGCAUGGGCUGAGGAGUGCUUUCUAUUUCCCAUCCUCUCUCUCAGGCUCUCCCAGCCAUGGAAGAGUGAGCAGUUGUUUGAACAGCUCUGGCAACUGUCUGUCCCCAUUUA